AGUGAACGCUGGCGGUAGGCCUAACACAUGCAAGUCGAACGGCAGCACAGUAAGAGCUUGCUCUUACGGGUGGCGAGUGGCGGACGGGUGAGGAAUACAUCGGAAUCUACUUUUUCGUGGGGGAUAACGUAGGGAAACUUACGCUAAUACCGCAUACGACCUACGGGUGAAAGCAGGGGAUCUUCGGACCUUGCGUGAUUGAAUGAGCCGAUGUCGGAUUAGCUAGUUGGCGGGGUAAAGGCCCACCAAGGCGACGAUCCGUAGCUGGUCUGAGAGGAUGAUCAGCCACACUGGAACUGAGACACGGUCCAGACUCCUACGGGAGGCAGCAGUGGGGAAUAUUGGACAAUGGGCGCAAGCCUGAUCCAGCCAUACCGCGUGUGUGAAGAAGGCCUUCGGAUUGUAAAGCCCUUUUGUUGGGAAAGAAAAGCAGCAGGUUAAUACCCCGCUGUUCUGACGGUACCCAAAGAAUAAGCACCGGCUAACUUCGUG
RNAcentral lists this ribosomal RNA (492 nucleotides) under uncultured bacterium. RNAcentral's name for it is "partial 16S ribosomal RNA". It matches the Rfam family "Bacterial small subunit ribosomal RNA", at positions 29 to 507 of the family's 1533-position model. The record is from RNAcentral.